GUCGGACGGUAGCAGGUCCUUCGGGAUGCUGACGAGUGGCGAACGGGUGAGUAAUGUAUCGGAACGUGUCUGGUAGUGGGGGAUAACACAUCGAAAGAUGUGCUAAUACCGCAUACGACCUUAGGGUGAAAGCAGGGGACCCUUCGGGGCCUUGCGCUAUUGGGGUGGCCGAUAUCGGAUUAGCUUGUUGGUGGGGUAAAGGCCUACCAAGGCGAUGAUCCGUAGCUGGUUUGAGAGGACGACCAGCCACACUGGGACUGAGACACGGCCCAGACUCCUACGGGAGGCAGCAGUGGGGAAUUUUGGACAAUGGGGGCAACCCUGAUCCAGCCAUUUCGCGUGUGUGAUGAAGGCCUUCGGGUUGUAAAGCACUUUUGGCGGGGAAGAAACGGCGGGCUCUAAUACAGCUUGCUAAUGACGGUACCCGCAGAAUAAGCACCGGCUAACUACGUGCCAGCAGCCGCGGUAAUACGUAGGGUGCGAGCGUUAAUCGGAAUUACUGGGCGUAAAGGGUGCGCAGGCGGUUUGGCAAGAGAGAUGUGAAAUCCCGGGGCUUAACCUCGGAACUGCAUUUUUAACUGCCAGACUAGAGUGUGUC
Molecule: ribosomal RNA, 598 nt
Filed under: uncultured Burkholderiales bacterium
Lineage: Bacteria; Pseudomonadati; Pseudomonadota; Betaproteobacteria; Burkholderiales
Description: bacterial SSU rRNA
Rfam family: Bacterial small subunit ribosomal RNA
Source: RNAcentral